RNAcentral lists this transfer RNA (72 nucleotides) under Mesostigma viride. RNAcentral describes it as "tRNA-Thr". It matches the Rfam family "tRNA". From Rfam's summary of the family: Transfer RNA (tRNA) molecules are approximately 80 nucleotides in length. Lineage: Eukaryota; Viridiplantae; Streptophyta; Mesostigmatophyceae; Mesostigmatales; Mesostigmataceae. The record is from RNAcentral.
GCCCUUAUAGCUCAGUGGUAGAGCAUCUCCUUGGUAAGGAGAAGGUCACGAGUUCAAUUCUCGUUAAGGGCU